Molecule: ribosomal RNA, 430 nt
Filed under: Bacteroidota bacterium
Lineage: Bacteria; Pseudomonadati; Bacteroidota
Description: Bacteroidetes bacterium partial 16S ribosomal RNA
Rfam family: Bacterial small subunit ribosomal RNA
Source: RNAcentral
UAGGGAAUCUUCGGCAAUGGGGGGAACCCUGACCGAGCAACGCCGCGUGAGUGAAGAAGGUUUUCGGAUCGUAAAGCUCUGUUGUUAAGGAAGAACGAGUGUGAGAAUGGAAAGUUCAUACUGUGACGGUACUUAACCAGAAAGGGACGGCUAACUACGUGCCAGCAGCCGCGGUAAUACGUAGGUGGCAAGCGUUGUCCGGAUUUAUUGGGCGUAAAGCGAGCGCAGGCGGUCAAUUAAGUCUGAUGUGAAAGCCCCCGGCUCAACCGGGGGGGGUCAUUGGAAACUGGUUGACUUGAGUGCAGAAGAGGAGAGUGGAAUUCCAUGUGUAGCGGUGAAAUGCGUAGAUAUAUGGAGGAACACCAGUGGCGAAGGCGACUCUCUGGUCUGUAACUGACGCUGAGGCUCGAAAGCGUGGGUAGCAAACAGG